UGGGGCGUAAUGCCUUCUUCCUGA
RNAcentral lists this transfer RNA (24 nucleotides) under Pseudantechinus macdonnellensis (fat-tailed pseudantechinus). Its description in RNAcentral is "partial tRNA-Pro". RNAcentral also lists the same sequence under 1 other name. The record is from RNAcentral. Lineage: Eukaryota; Metazoa; Chordata; Mammalia; Dasyuromorphia; Dasyuridae.